Molecule: long non-coding RNA, 1401 nt
Organism: Lolium perenne
Lineage: Eukaryota; Viridiplantae; Streptophyta; Magnoliopsida; Poales; Poaceae
Source: RefSeq, a predicted model, not a curated record
GGAAAGAAAUCUCCCCUCCGUGAUGUGCUCCAGUCCCCCAUGGUGAAGUUGCGGCUGCUGCGAGUUUCCCCUGGCCGAGCUCCUCUGUAGCCGGUGGAUGUGUGCGGCUUCCACGUUGCAACUCCUCACGUACCAGCGGCCCUCCACCUCGCUGGUUGGUCUUCCGUGUGGGUACUCGCCUUCAACCUAGACAGCUGGUCCCCGUCUGAGUGCUCGACAGCGGCGGCGCCGCCAACUGCUCGUGAUCUUGGAGCGCGUCAUCCCAACCAGAUCCUCCCCACCCCACUCUUGCCGCCGCGAAAAGUUGGUCAGCACGCCGCCAGACCAUCGAGCCAGUGCUCGCAGUGGCGCCUCCCCACCGCCCCACGCAGCAGAAGGAGGUCAACUUCGUGGGUAAGUUGUGGUAUCCGCAAGUGCGCAUGCCGGCGGCUGCCGUCCACAGUUGUGGUCAUUCACGACUGGGCCCAAGAGUUGGAUCGAGCCUGCCGUAGCGGGGGAUUCUCGCCGGUGCUCUCAACGAGGCACAACAGAUCAGGGUGUGUGUGGCUCCACCGAUCGAGCAGGAAGGACAGGGUGUGGAGACGGCCGGUGGAGCAGAUGUAGGGGAUUGCGGUGCAGGCUGCGGAGGGGAGGGGCCACGCCAGAAUUGCGAGAGGAAGAGGAGAGUUGGGGGUGACGCCCCAGCUCGUCGCUCCAGCGCCACGACUGCUGCUCUUGCCAGGAACUGGCUACUUCCGGUGCCAGCCGUCAAGCAUCGACGGGCUGGCGCUCCAUCUCCUCCAUCCUUGGCGUCAGCGUUCUGCCAUCCCCGCAAUCGAGAUUGACGACCGGAUGAGGCUCUGCUUUUCUCUCUGUUUGCAAAUUGGUUUUGUUCCUUACUGUUUAUUGAUUGAUAUUUGUAGGCAUGUUGCUGAUUGAUGCCAUGCCCAAUCUGUGUCCCUCUGGUUGUCGGCAGGUUGUAUCCGCCUCUAUUUUUCGUGUUCCAUGACAACUUGGAAGACAUCGUCAUGCUCUGUUUCCUCUUCUUGCCUGGGUAGUAGAUCUCUGCGCGGGCGAGCCGAAGGCGGUAAACGAUCUGAUGUUGGAAUAGCGAGGGUACCGCCAUAUAUUAUUCUGUCAAAUGCGAGUUGAUACCUGAGAAGAAAUAUUCACAUGUUUGAUGUGAGAAAUAUGCAGAGGAAGAAGCCUUUGAUAUUGUUUCCCUUCACAGAAGAAGUUGUGCGGAGAGUGUUGUCAUACUCUUUGUGGGAUGGCUUUUGCUUAUUAUUCACCACCAUUAAGGCAUUAACCAGUUAGUUAUAACAGCUGGUUCUGCUAAAAGAAUGUUAUCUUUCAAGAAAACAUCCUUGAGACUAUCAGUUGUGUUGAAAUAUCUAUCUGAAUAUAUGCACUGGUUUUGUU